UAGUUUAGGUAAUGCAGAUGUUGGUCUCUCUAACACUGUGGCAUGUCCCCUUUCUUCUACACUCACUACAGACACCUUUUCUCUGUCUCAGACUAUACCAGGAACUUCUGCCUGCUAGUAAGAAGGUAAGGAGACAAGUGGACCAGUGAGUGCUAGGGGACAGUCCUUAGAAAGAAUGGAGUGAGUGCAUCAUUAGACGCAUUUAUGUCAAGCUCAAGGUGCUGCCUGCAUUGUAUGCCCUUAGUUGGACAGCCUGCAGGAUUGGCAGGCAGCCUGACAUGCAUUCAUGCCAGGCUGACCUUCCA
Molecule: non-coding RNA, 305 nt
Organism: Pelobates cultripes (western spadefoot toad)
Lineage: Eukaryota; Metazoa; Chordata; Amphibia; Anura; Pelobatidae
Source: the annotation of a GenBank genome assembly